Molecule: long non-coding RNA, 2041 nt
Filed under: Nicotiana tabacum (common tobacco)
Lineage: Eukaryota; Viridiplantae; Streptophyta; Magnoliopsida; Solanales; Solanaceae
Description: long non-coding RNA (NTAB_LNC009696)
Source: RNAcentral
CAGUUCAACCUAGAACUCGACUUUUCAGUCUCUCAUCUCCUUCGUUUGAACCCUAAAUGCUGCCUUCAAAUUCCGCUAUUUCCACCAGUGAUUGAAGCUCCAAUCAACCCAAAAACUUCAUCACACACUCCCCAUAAUCCAUCAGACACUAAGUCACCGUCAGUUUCCCCUAAAUCCCCUCCAUUUUUCUUUAAUUUCAGAUCAUAAAUGGAAUCCCAGAUCCGUUCCCGCCUUCGAUUCCUCAUGAAAAGGGUCUAGGUUCAUUGUUCUCCAGUCUUUGAAGAUGAUUUUGGCCAGAAAUGAGUGUUAGAUGUUUGUUCUCACAAGAACAAGCCGACUAAUACUCCUUUUUUGCUUCAAAUCGGAAAACAUCAGAGAUCUUUUCAAGCCAUGCUCGUCUACAUUCUUCUUUAGGUACUAUCGUUCUUUUAUUUUUCCCCGUUCCUUUGUUCUAUUUCCCGUCUUUAUCUCCUUCUGUUUCCUCUUUCUUUUUUCUUUAUUAUUUUUCUGUUUUUGUAUCAGUUUUAUGUUGGCAUGAUUAAAUUAAAAGCAUGUUAGUUACGUUUGUUUUGAUUUUCAUGAUUAAUUCCUUCUCAUUUUUUGGUUUCAUUUCGAAAGAGUUUUGGUUUUGCAACCCCUUUAGCCUGUAUUUUUGUGUGGGUUUUCUUUUGAGUUUUUAAUUGGAAUUGAGCUUCAUGGUUCAGAAGGCCAAAGGGAAAGGAAAGGGUUAGUCCGGGUUUUGCAAGCCCAGGUUUUGGGUCAUUUGUCGGGUCAACUUGACCCAUGUGAUCUACUGAGGGUAAAUAACAAGGGUUACAAGGGUAGUUUAGGGAUAUUAAUUAAGAGAAUCUCUUAUAACUUAUUUGGAAACUUCCUGAAAGGUGGGGAAAGGGACUGACCUAACAAACAAAACCAAAAUUCAAGGUAAAAGUGAACAAAUUGAAAAUUUAAGAAGGGGUAAUGGGUAAAACUAGAAACCAAUUUUGCUGCCCUAAAAGUGUUCUAUAAAAAGGCAUGUUUCCUUCUCUUUCAUGGGAGGAUAGAGAGAAUUACAAUACUAAAAACUGGAAAAAAAACGGCUGAGUUUAAAAACAUUGAAAUCCUUUGCAUUUUAGUAGAAAUUGGUUUAGUUUCUGCUGUUUGUCUUCAUAGCCUGACAUUUUCUCAAGAAAUUUUGUUUCAUUUUGGGUUUAAAAUGGCUCAAAAGGGCUGAGUCUCAUGGUUGUUUAGCUGUGUUGGUGCUGCUAAUACUUUGCUAUUUGUUUUCUCCCACUUCAAGCUUAUUUCCCUUGUUGGUUUUGCUGUAAGCAGGUACCCUUUGGACCCUAUGAGUUUAUGAAAUGCACUUUUGAAGCUAUGUGAUCAACUUGAACAGUUAUGGAUGAGUGGAAAUUUGCUGAAUGUUAAGCUUUGCAUUUUUUCGAAGAUCCUUCAUGUUCUUUUUUUCUUCGUUGAAUUAGUUUAACAUGUGUUGUAUUACAUUUAUGUUUUUAGCAGCACGUUUUGAGAUUAUGUUUAGAGUUUGGUUUAGUCACUUUGGCUUUAAUUGAGUUGAACUAUUCUCUUCAUGUAUUUAAUUUGGACUGUGCAGCACAGACUGAUUUAGACGAGUAGUAUCUUCAUAUUGUAAGAUUGUGAUUGAGUUAUUUUGGGCUAGUAGUGAUAAUCAAUCAGUCCACAAGGAGCUCCUCUCACAGUGUUGCUGGUUAAAUGUUGGUUUUAAUAUCCCCACGAAUAUAUGAGCUAUUGUUGCAUUUUUGAUAUCUAGUUUGAAGGAUUAAAUUAUUUUACUGUUAGAUUCACUAAGUGCAUGAGUUCAAAGUGAUGAGAAGUAGUUCUGACUUUCAAAUACAGAAGGUUUGUGUGUUCUUUGAGCAUGAAGUGCUCUAUUUUGCAAUAUAGAUCUAAAUUAUGUGGUAAAUCUCUUAUUUGGUUUUAGUGAAAUCAAUCAGUUUAAUGUAUUCAUACGGUGUUUGUCAAUAUGAGGGUUGACAUAUUUAAUAAGGAGUUUCGAACUCAUGUUCAUGUGAUGUUAAUUGCA